Molecule: small nucleolar RNA, 117 nt
Filed under: Castor canadensis (American beaver)
Lineage: Eukaryota; Metazoa; Chordata; Mammalia; Rodentia; Castoridae
Description: Small nucleolar RNA SNORA51 (ENSCCNG00000009011.1)
Rfam family: Small nucleolar RNA SNORA51
About the family: ACA51 is a member of the H/ACA class of snoRNA that guide the sites of modification of uridines to pseudouridines.
Source: Rfam by way of RNAcentral
AGCCUCCUAGUGCUCCACAGUCUGUGUUCUUAGAAAGAGGAGGCAAAGUAAACCUACCCCAUCUACACCUCAGCCCAGGCCCUGUGCCUGGUCUGUAUUGUGAAUGGGGGUAGGGAG